AUUGAACGCUGGCGGUAUGCUUAACACAUGCAAGUCGAACGGUAGCAGGUCUAGCUUGCUAGAUGCUGACGAGUGGCGGACGGGUGAGUAACGCGUAGGAAUCUGCCUUAUUGUGGGGGAUAACCUGGGGAAACUCAGGCUAAUACCGCAUGAGCCCUAAGGGGGAAAGGAUGGGACCGCAAGGCCAUUCGCGAUAAGAUGAGCCUGCGUCGGAUUAGCUUGUUGGUGGGGUAAAGGCCUACCAAGGCGAGGAUCCGUAGCUGGUCUGAGAGGACGACCAGCCACACUGGGACUGAGACACGGCCCAGACUCCUACGGGAGGCAGCAGUGGGGAAUAUUGGACAAUGGGGGCAACCCUGAUCCAGCAAUACCGCGUGUGUGAAGAAGGCCUGCGGGUUGUAAAGCACUUUCAGUGGGAGGAAGAGCUUAUUGUUAAUAGCAAUGAGUUGAGACGUUACCCACAGAAGAAGCACCGGCUAACUCUGUGCCAG
RNAcentral lists this ribosomal RNA (491 nucleotides) under uncultured bacterium. RNAcentral describes it as "bacterial SSU rRNA". It matches the Rfam family "Bacterial small subunit ribosomal RNA", at positions 30 to 511 of the family's 1533-position model. The record is from RNAcentral.